GCCGCCAUAGAUCCUUGACAGCACCACAUCCCGUCCGAUCUGCGCAGUUAAGCAGGGUAUCGCCUAGUCAGUACUGCCGUGGGGGACCACGCCGGUGCUGCAGUUC
RNAcentral lists this ribosomal RNA (106 nucleotides) under Ustilago bromivora. The record is from RNAcentral. Lineage: Eukaryota; Fungi; Basidiomycota; Ustilaginomycetes; Ustilaginales; Ustilaginaceae.